Haemorhous mexicanus (house finch) is the source of this 3865-nucleotide long non-coding RNA. RefSeq lists it as uncharacterized. The record is from RefSeq and is a predicted model, not a curated record. NCBI's taxonomy places the organism in Eukaryota, Metazoa, Chordata, Aves, Passeriformes, Fringillidae. The transcript is spliced from 11 exons.
GUGUAGACGAAGAACCGAAUAUGCCCGAGUUUAGACGAACCGUGCCGAGUUCAGCCCAAGAGCCGAAACAAGCCAAAUUUAGCCGAGUUUAAUGGAACAGAACCGAACGUCGCCGCCUUCGGCCGAAUCGAACGAGCUCAGCCGAACCAAGGCGAGUCCAGCCCAGUCUUGCGACCUCGACCGAACCGAGGCGAAGCUUACGAGGCUGGCUGAAUAGAAGUGAGCUCAGCCCAAACAAGCCGCCUGCUCUCGUGCCCGCUAAUUAGCUCGAGUGCGGUGACAGCCUAAUGAGCUCCUGCCCAACCCCGCGCUGCCGUCCGUGUCCGUGCGAUGGCCGGGCCACCCGCGGGACACGACAGCAGGAGAGCCCCGAGCCGUGCGAGUUUAACGUGAGGCGGCGCCGCUUUCCCGCACUCAGGGAGCCGAACUGAGCCGCGCCGAACACACAGAGCGGCUCCGAGUUCGGCCGAAGCGAGCCCAGCGUUGCCGAACAGGCGAAUCUAGUUGAGUGCAGCCGAUAAUAGCCGAGUUUAGCAAAAAAUAGCUGAAUUGAGCUGAAGAGCCGACUCUAGCAGAGUGUCGCCUAACCGAGCCGAGCUCCGCCGAGCGGGUGCCGGGGCUCUGUGAGGCUUCGCCGCCUGUCCCUCUCUCUAUGCCUCCUUCCUCCUCCCCUCCUCCUCUUCUCUCUCUCCCUUUCCCCCAUUCCCUCGUCCCUGCAAGCCCGGCUCCUUCCUGUCCUGUCCGUACGCUGCUACUCCGUUCCAUUCCCCCUCCCUCCUCUGUCCACCCUCCCUCUACCCCCCUCCCGGGCUUUCCCUUCCCCUCCCGCUUUCCUCCACAGCCCGACCUCCCUGCCUGCCCUUUCUCAUCCCCUGCUCUCGCUCCUCUCUUCCCGUCCCCCCUUUCCUUCUUUCCCCCGCAGCCGCGGGGCUCGGGGUGCCGGAGAAUAAAGCCCAGAGGGCCGGAGCCCGGCGCCCCUCGGCCCCUGCAGGAGUCCCCGCACGGGGCCGGAGGCUCUCGGCGGAUCCCCCCGUGCCGGUCAAACACCCCGCCCGACACCGCCGCACCUGCGGCUUUCCCGACAUCGCGCAGAGAGCGGCCCCCGCUCUGUGCCGUGCCGUCCCCGCCGUCUCUGUCACUCCCUCUCGUUGCCCCUCUCCCGUGACAGCGAGGCUGGGGAGGAACCUCAGCCCUUCUUGGGGGCUGUCCCCCCUUUCUUGUUGCAGCAGAAUCCCCUUCUGGGGGGAUGUACAGGUGGAAAGGGCUUGAAGGAAGCGCUGCUGUCCAGGGCAGUUGGACUCGUUCUGUGCCUUCUUUGGGGUUGAGGAAAAGGGGGUGAAGACUUGGGGCUCUGAUGCCAUUUGAGGCACCCCAAGGUACCUGGGAGAGGGAGCCGCACUGCGGUGGAGAAGCAGGAGGAGCACAGCUUCCAGAAAUUCCAGGCUGUGUUAAAUACAACACUUUUUUCAGCAGAUUCAUCAUGUCACAAAAGGCACCUGCCCGGUGCCAAAGACGAUGUUUGGGAUUGAGGCUUCAGGUGCCACUCACAAUAACAGGCACGUUCUUGGAAUCAGGAUGAAGCUGGAGCCUUGAGGACCCAGGAAGUAAAGCUGGAUAUUAGCAGUCAAGGCAAUCCACUCGGCGUACGUCCGGCCACUGUCACCGACCGGCAGAUGGACCGGGUUUGCUGCUCUUGUGAGCCCGCUGGAAGUAUUACAAGACUUGGUGAUGAAGCCUCUGCCUUUUCUAUUUAAAGGUGUCACCUGGGUAGUCUUUGGCAACGGCUGAGUUGCGGUGAGUUGGGAAAAUAGGGAGGAGGAGCAAGGGUCCACUCAGGUUUCAGCAAUGCCACAUCACCUUGUCUCCCCUUAACCCAGGCGUGCCCCGAGACAACAGCGUCGGCCUCCGAGUGCAGCCGAAGCAUGUGGCCUGAGGAGAUGGGAGGUCUUAGGAAAAUGCUGACUAAGAAACAACAGGAAGUUGUUGAACAACAGUGCCAGCGGGAACUUCCCAGAUGUUGAGGCUGCCUUCUUUUGCACCUGACACGGACCAGCAUCCCCAGAUGUCUGAGAGAUAAGUAGAGGGCUACAACCCUCUACUAUAAGUAGAGGGGAUGAAAGUGGGGUGCUGGUUUGGGAAUUACUGGGAGGGGUUUUUGAGUCCACUUUGGAGGUGGGGGUGUCCAUGAAGUGGCCCCUUAGGCCACUUAAAAGGAACAUCUCACUUUUGACAACAGUGCUGAGGUGCGCAGGUCAGAGCAGUCCUGGCAUGUAUCGUGUCACUUGUCUAUCGUGCAUUCUAUGUUGUUUGGGUAUCUCAUGUCUUUUACCUUAGCCCUUUGAGGGGCAUAUCAGAAACCCCUGGCAUCAUUCUUAGCAUCUGUGAUCUCUGCAUUCCUUGGCCUGGCACCCAGGCCAUAGAACUUUUGACUCGGGAGCUCAGACAGGUAUCAGACUCGCAUCUCUCUUUAGAAGCAUCCAGUCAGAUGUCUUUUCAGGUCUUGUUCUGAGCUGUAUGGACAGCCGUGUCCCACAAGGAUCCACUAUGGCAGAUUAGGACUUGUAAGAGUGUGAGGUUAGGUAGAGGAUUCUGACCCGAGGAUUCCCAGGCAUCCAUCUUUGCAGUUCUUGGACUAAAUCAUUCAGUUAGCGUCUUCUUCCUCCUGGGUUCCCUGAGCCUCAUCAGCUCACCAUCGGUCUCACCUCGGUCAUCUCAUUUUGAAUUUUCUCGGUCCUUGCAGUCAUUUUUCUUGCCAAGAGAUUUCCGUCUGUGUUGUGUCCCCCUUGUUUGUCAUGUCCUGUGUCAUGGGUGUUCACACACAUUUGUGCUGGAGCCGCUCUUCCCUGCUGCAUAGCCUGUUGCAAUAGAAGUCCCAGGACCUUGAAGUUUGUACUGUGGGGUGUAGUUUAUGGACACAAGAGGUCUGGAGCUCUUAAGUUAUCCUGCAACAGUUUGACUAUUGACCUAACUUUUUUUUCAGAUUCAGAUGGAUUAAAUCUUUGCCAGAGCACCCCAUCCCAGGUGAGGGGGUCCCCCCGAGCAGGAAGUAAAUCUGGAUACCAGCAGUCAAGUUGGUCCACUUGCAAUCCUGGCCGAGCAUGCCCGAUGCCAGGUGCUGUCACUGCCCUAGGCAUGCCAAGGAACAGAGGAGAGCAGGUAUCUUCUGGGCAGCCUCUGAAGUCAAAUCAAGAUUUGAGGUACCCUGUUGAGGUUUGUAGCCAAAGUUUGGAAACAGCAGCACCGAAGCACACGCGGAGAACAUCUCGACGUCCGUGUCCAACCAACGAUGGAUUUUGUCCACUCGUUUUCCAAACGCUAAGUGUCGGGUUGUCCUAGGGUGACAUUAGGAUGCUGUUAUCCCCAUUCGUGUGUAAUUUAUGCUGGAUAUUAUGUUCUGUGCCUUUAAGACUAGCUCUGCAGAGUGAAAGUUUUGUUUUGGGCCUCUUAUCAGCCACUCGGCGGGACAUACAGAUAGCACAGUACAUAGUGCUGCUUUUUUGCUUUUUGCUUUGCUCUUGCUUCUGCUCUGCUUCUGCUUUGCUUUUGCUUCUCUUGCUUUUUUCCCCUCUUCUCAUUAGUUAAUUUAGCUAAACAGUCCAAAUUCCUUCCUGGACUGGUUCCCCUUUCCUGUUUGGAUCUACCGACCUGCUCCGGACUGGACCUGGGAAACACCGAGAGAGAGUUUGCAUCUUGUGGCUGCAGCAGCUGCCCCAGUGCUGGAGGGACUGAUAACAUCGAACAGCCCCAGGAGAGACUUUCUGAAUUUGUCAUCUUUUUCAGAGCGGUGAAAGAGUGGUGUCAUCUGCUGUUGUUCAUUUUGUGUGUUGGGGGGUGCUGUGCUUGUCAAAUAAACAGGCUCUUUCCA